This 376-nucleotide ribosomal RNA is filed under the name uncultured bacterium. Its description in RNAcentral is "bacterial SSU rRNA". It matches the Rfam family "Bacterial small subunit ribosomal RNA", at positions 521 to 896 of the family's 1533-position model. The record is from RNAcentral.
UAAUACAGAGGGUGCAAGCGUUAAUCGGAGUUACUGGGCGUAAAGGGCGCGUAGGCGGUUUGGUAAGUUAGCUGUGAAAUCCCUGGGCUUAACCUAGGAACUGCAGCUGAUACUGUCGAACUGGAGUACUGUAGAGGGUAGUGGAAUUUCCGGUGUAGCGGUGAAAUGCGUAGAGAUCGGAAGGAACACCAGUGGCGAAGGCGGCUACCUGGACAGAUACUGACGCUGAGGCGCGAGAGCGUGGGGAGCAAACAGGAUUAGAUACCCUGGUAGUCCACGCCGUAAACGAUGAAGACUAGAUGUUGGUAGGCUUGACCUAUUAGUAUCGAAGCUAACGCGAUAAGUCUUCCGCCUGGGGAGUACGGUCGCAAGAUUA